RNAcentral lists this ribosomal RNA (460 nucleotides) under uncultured bacterium. RNAcentral describes it as "partial 16S ribosomal RNA". It matches the Rfam family "Bacterial small subunit ribosomal RNA", at positions 338 to 795 of the family's 1533-position model. The record is from RNAcentral.
CCUACGGGUGGCAGCAGUGAGGAAUAUUGGUCAAUGGACGCGAGUCUGAACCAGCCAAGUAGCGUGAAGGAUGACUGCCCUAUGGGUUGUAAACUUCUUUUAUAUGGGAAUAAAAUGUUCCACGUGUGGGAUUUUGUAUGUACCAUAUGAAUAAGGAUCGGCUAACUCCGUGCCAGCAGCCGCGGUAAUACGGAGGAUCCGAGCGUUAUCCGGAUUUAUUGGGUUUAAAGGGAGCGUAGGUGGAUUGUUAAGUCAGUUGUUAAAGUUUGCGGCUCAACCGUAAAAUUGCCGUUGAAACUGGCAGUCUUGAGUACAGGAGAGGUGUGCGGAAUGCGUGGUGUAGCGGUGAAAUGCUUAGAUAUCACGCAGAACUCCGAUUGCGAAGGCAGCAUACUGGACUGCAACUGACACUGAGGCUCGAAAGUGUGGGUAUCAAACAGGAUUAGAUACCCGUGUAGUC